RNAcentral lists this ribosomal RNA (497 nucleotides) under uncultured bacterium. RNAcentral's name for it is "partial 16S ribosomal RNA". It matches the Rfam family "Bacterial small subunit ribosomal RNA", at positions 28 to 507 of the family's 1533-position model. The record is from RNAcentral.
GAUGAACGCUGGCGGCGUGCCUAAUACAUGCAAGUCGAGCGAACAGACGAGGAGCUUUCUCCUCUGACGUUAGCGGCGGACGGGUGAGUAACACGUGGAUAACCUACCUAUAAGACUGGGAUAACUUCGGGAAACCGGAGCUAAUACCGGAUAAUAUAUUGAACCGUAUGGUUCAAGAGUUAAAGACGGUUUUGCUUUCACUUAUAGAUGGAUCCGCGCCGCAUUAGCUAGUUGGUAAGGUAACGGCUUACCAAGGCGACGAUGCGUAGCCGACCUGAGAGGGUGAUCGGCCACACUGGAACUGAGACACGGUCCAGACUCCUACGGGAGGCAGCAGUAGGGAAUCUUCCGCGAUGGGCGAAAGCCUGACGGAGCAACGCCGCGUGAGUGAUGAAGGUCUUCGGAUCGUAAAACUCUGUUAUUAGGGAAGAACAAAUGUGUAAGUAACUAUGAACGUAUUGACGGUACCUAAUCAGAAAGCCACGGCUAACUACGUG